Molecule: microRNA precursor, 112 nt
Filed under: Caenorhabditis remanei
Lineage: Eukaryota; Metazoa; Nematoda; Chromadorea; Rhabditida; Rhabditidae
Description: mir-57
Rfam family: mir-57 microRNA precursor family (bases 21-104)
Source: RNAcentral
UAAGUUUGAUUAUCUCAUGACUGUUUUCGUCUACCCUGUAGAUCGAGCUGUGUGUUUUGAAGUGUUCAUACACAAGCUAGACUGCAAGGUGAACGACAAAAUGAGACAGCUU